RNAcentral lists this ribosomal RNA (878 nucleotides) under Salmonella enterica subsp. enterica serovar Oranienburg. Its description in RNAcentral is "bacterial LSU rRNA". It matches the Rfam family "Bacterial large subunit ribosomal RNA", at positions 329 to 1211 of the family's 2925-position model. Lineage: Bacteria; Pseudomonadati; Pseudomonadota; Gammaproteobacteria; Enterobacterales; Enterobacteriaceae. The record is from RNAcentral.
UUAGUGGAAGCGUCUGGAAAGGCGCGCGAUACAGGGUGACAGCCCCGUACACAAAAGCGCAUGUGCUGUGAGCUCGAUGAGUAGGGCGGGACACGUGGUAUCCUGUCUGAAUAUGGGGGGACCAUCCUCCAAGGCUAAAUACUCCUGACUGACCGAUAGUGAACCAGUACCGUGAGGGAAAGGCGAAAAGAACCCCGGCGAGGGGAGUGAAAAAGAACCUGAAACCGUGUACGUACAAGCAGUGGGAGCACCCUUUGGGGUGUGACUGCGUACCUUUUGUAUAAUGGGUCAGCGACUUAUAUUCUGUAGCAAGGUUAACCGUAUAGGGGAGCCGGAGGGAAACCGAGUCUUAAUUGGGCGUUAAGUUGCAGGGUAUAGACCCGAAACCCGGUGAUCUAGCCAUGGGCAGGUUGAAGGUUGGGUAACACUAACUGGAGGACCGAACCGACUAAUGUUGAAAAAUUAGCGGAUGACCUGUGGCUGGGGGUGAAAGGCCAAUCAAACCGGGAGAUAGCUGGUUCUCCCCGAAAGCUAUUUAGGUAGCGCCUCGUGAAUUCAUCUCCGGGGGUAGAGCACUGUUUCGGCUAGGGGGCCAUCCCGGCUUACCAACCCGAUGCAAACUGCGAAUACCGGAGAAUGUUAUCACGGGAGACACACGGCGGGUGCUAACGUCCGUCGUGAAGAGGGAAACAACCCAGACCGCCAGCUAAGGUCCCAAAGUCAUGGUUAAGUGGGAAACGAUGUGGGAAGGCCCAGACAGCCAGGAUGUUGGCUUAGAAGCAGCCAUCAUUUAAAGAAAGCGUAAUAGCUCACUGGUCGAGUCGGCCUGCGCGGAAGAUGUAACGGGGCUAAACCAUGCACCGAAGCUGCGGCAGCGA